GUGUUUGCUUUAGCAGUACGUAUACUAAAACUGGAAUGAUACAGAAAAUAUUAGCAUGGCCCCUACAAAAGUAUAACACACAAAUUCAUGGAGUGUUUCAUAUUUUU
This is a small nuclear RNA of Cavia aperea (Brazilian guinea pig), 107 nucleotides long. NCBI's taxonomy places the organism in Eukaryota, Metazoa, Chordata, Mammalia, Rodentia, Caviidae. The record is from Ensembl.